This 197-nucleotide ribosomal RNA is filed under the name uncultured bacterium. RNAcentral's name for it is "partial 16S ribosomal RNA". It matches the Rfam family "Bacterial small subunit ribosomal RNA", at positions 338 to 524 of the family's 1533-position model. The record is from RNAcentral.
CCUACGGGAGGCAGCAGCCGCGGUAAUAUUGCGCAAUGGGGGAAACCCUGACGCAGCGGCGCCGCGUGAGCGAAGAAGGCCUUAGGGUCGUAAAGCUCUGUUUUAAGGGACGAAUGUCGCGGGUAAUAAUACGAUCUGCGAAUGACGGUACCUUAAGAGGAAGCCCCGGCUAACUACGUGCCAGCAGCCGCGGUAAU